AGUGAGCGCUGGCGGUAGGCCUAACACAUGCAAGUCGAACGGCAGCACAGUAAGAGCUUGCUCUUACGGGUGGCGAGUGGCGGACGGGUGAGGAAUACAUCGGAAUCUACUUUUUCGUGGGGGAUAACGUAGGGAAACUUACGCUAAUACCGCAUACGACCUACGGGUGAAAGCAGGGGAUCUUCGGACCUUGCGCGAUUGAAUGAGCCGAUGUCGGAUUAGCUAGUUGGCGGGGUAAAGGCCCACCAAGGCGACGAUCCGUAGCUGGUCUGAGAGGAUGAUCAGCCACACUGGAACUGAGACACGGUCCAGACUCCUACGGGAGGCAGCAGUGGGGAAUAUUGGACAAUGGGCGCAAGCCUGAUCCAGCCAUACCGCGUGGGUGAAGAAGGCCUUCGGGUUGUAAAGCCCUUUUGUUGGGAAAGAAAAGCAGCAGGUUAAUACCCCGCUGUUCUGACGGUACCCAAAGAAUAAGCACCGGCUAACUUCGAG
Molecule: ribosomal RNA, 492 nt
Filed under: uncultured bacterium
Lineage: Bacteria
Description: partial 16S ribosomal RNA
Rfam family: Bacterial small subunit ribosomal RNA
Source: RNAcentral